GGUCGAAAGAAUUUUUUCCGGACAUUCAAAAAAGGGGCGCAAAAUUUUUGCGUACAUAAACCAAUUAAAUUAAGGGUCAAAAAUUUUUUUAGGACAAAUUCCUGUUAAAACAUGCAUGAAACCCUUAUUUUUUACAAAUAUCUGUAAAAUUUAGGUCUAUAAAUUCUAUUCAAUUCCCUCUGGAAGCCCUGAAAUCUACUUGAUAAUUCUACAUUCUAUCAUUUAAAAUCUUUCAUUGCCCUGCCAAUGCAGAUGAUUUGCCCUGCCAAUCCAGAUUAUUUGUACUUUGGGGGGUGUCACCCCCCCCCCCC
Paramuricea clavata is the source of this 311-nucleotide non-coding RNA. The record is from the annotation of a GenBank genome assembly. Lineage: Eukaryota; Metazoa; Cnidaria; Anthozoa; Malacalcyonacea; Plexauridae.